GAAGGUAUAGCUUAGUUGUGGAGUGCAUGCUUAGCAUGCACAAAGUCCUGGGCUCAAUCCCCAGUACCUCCA
Camelus ferus (Wild Bactrian camel) is the source of this 72-nucleotide transfer RNA. It matches the Rfam family "tRNA". Rfam says of the family: Transfer RNA (tRNA) molecules are approximately 80 nucleotides in length. Their secondary structure includes four short double-helical elements and three loops (D, anti-codon, and T loops). The record is from Rfam. Lineage: Eukaryota; Metazoa; Chordata; Mammalia; Artiodactyla; Camelidae.